GACGAACGCUGGCGGCGUGCUUAACACAUGCAAGUCGAACGGAAAGGCCCUGCUUUUGUGGGGUGCUCGAGUGGCGAACGGGUGAGUAACACGUGAGUAACCUGCCCUUGACUUUGGGAUAAAUUCAGGAAACUGGGGCUCAUACCGGAUAGGAGCUCCUGAUGCAUGGUGGGGGUUGGAAAGUUUCGGCGGUUGGGGAUGGACUCGCGGCUUAUCCGCUUGUUGGUGGGGUAGUGGCUUACCAAGGCUUUGACGGGUAGCCGGCCUGAGAGGGUGACCGGCCACAAUGGGACUGAGGGACGGCCCAGACGCCUACGGGAGGCAGCAGGGGGGAAUAUUGCACAAUGGGCGGAAGCCUGAUGCAGCAACGCCGCGUGCGGGAUGACGGCCUUCGGGUUGUAAACCGCUUUCGCCUGUGACGAAGCGUGAGUGACGGUAAUGGGUAAAGAAGCACCGGCUAACUACGUG
This 468-nucleotide ribosomal RNA is filed under the name uncultured bacterium. RNAcentral describes it as "partial 16S ribosomal RNA". It matches the Rfam family "Bacterial small subunit ribosomal RNA", at positions 28 to 507 of the family's 1533-position model. The record is from RNAcentral.